RNAcentral lists this ribosomal RNA (493 nucleotides) under uncultured bacterium. RNAcentral describes it as "partial 16S ribosomal RNA". It matches the Rfam family "Bacterial small subunit ribosomal RNA", at positions 30 to 523 of the family's 1533-position model. The record is from RNAcentral.
AUUGAACGCUGGCGGCAUGCUUUACACAUGCAAGUCGAACGGUAACAGGUUAAGCUGACGAGUGGCGAACGGGUGAGUAAUGCAUCGGAACGUGCCCGGUCGUGGGGGAUAACGCAGCGAAAGCUGCGCUAAUACCGCAUACGAUCUGAGGAUGAAAGCGGGGGACCGUAAGGCCUCGCGCGAUCGGAGCGGCCGAUGUCAGAUUAGGUAGUUGGUGGGGUAAAGGCUCACCAAGCCGACGAUCCGUAGCUGGUCUGAGAGGACGACCAGCCACACUGGGACUGAGACACGGCCCAGACUCCUACAGGAGGCAGCAGUGGGGAAUUUUGGACAAUGGGCGCAAGCCUGAUUCAUCAAUGCCGCGUGCAGGAAGAAGGCCUUCGGGUUGUAAACUGCUUUUGUACGGAGCGAAAAGGCUCUCUCUAAUACAGGGGGCUCAUGACGGUACCGUAAGAAUAAGCACCGGCUAACUACGUGCCAGCAGCCGCCGUAA